This 461-nucleotide long non-coding RNA is filed under the name Bos taurus (domestic cattle). RNAcentral describes it as "long non-coding RNA NONBTAT024157". The record is from RNAcentral. Lineage: Eukaryota; Metazoa; Chordata; Mammalia; Artiodactyla; Bovidae.
UUUAGGAUAAAAAACACUUGACACAAAUAACUUUCUGUUAAUGAACAUUUCUUUUUUUUGGUGGGGGGGAGUUCCAAAUCAAGAUGAACCGUCAGUAGUUAGAAGGGAAUGUAUAAGUCUGAGAGAUUGAGUCUCACUUCAUAGGAGAAAAAGUUUUUUUUUUUUAGCCUGGUGUGGCUUUAGUGACCCUCCCCCUCUGCCCCAGCAAGAAAGUUGAUAGAACACCACAAAGGUUUGCUUUUUUUUCAGGGAUUUUGAAAUUCAGCGUACAUGCCAGCAAGCAGUUUAGAGGCAGGAAGUCUUUUCUAGUAGUGCAGUCAUGAACUGGUAAACUAGAAGCAUCUGUAAAAAUUUAGAGGGAAUAUCAGCUUUCUCAAAGCUCCAGCCCAAGUGUAAUGAGGUGCAAAUGAUAGCACUGCCUAACCCCUCCCCGCCCCAGUUGUGGAAUGAGAUACUGAGUC